GAUCCCAGGUCAGGCGGGGCUA
RNAcentral lists this ribosomal RNA (22 nucleotides) under Miconia grisebachiana. RNAcentral's name for it is "Calycogonium grisebachii partial 26S ribosomal RNA". Lineage: Eukaryota; Viridiplantae; Streptophyta; Magnoliopsida; Myrtales; Melastomataceae. The record is from RNAcentral.